CAGCAGCCGCGGUAACACGGAGGGGGCUAGCGUUGUUCGGAAUUACUGGGCGUAAAGCGCACGUAGGCGGCUUGGUAAGUUAGAGGUGAAAGCCCGGAGCUCAACUCCGGAAUUGCCCUUAAGACUGCCGAGCUAGCAGGUGAGAGAGGUAAGUGGAAUUCCGAGUGUAGAGGUGAAAUUCGUAGAUAUUCGGAAGAACACCAGUGGCGAAGGCGGCUUACUGGCUCAUACUGGACGCUGAGGUGCGAAAGCGUGGGGAGCAAACAGGAUUAGAUACCCCCGUAGUCCCUGUCUCUUAUAC
RNAcentral lists this ribosomal RNA (301 nucleotides) under uncultured bacterium. Its description in RNAcentral is "partial 16S ribosomal RNA". It matches the Rfam family "Bacterial small subunit ribosomal RNA", at positions 509 to 807 of the family's 1533-position model. The record is from RNAcentral.